AGCGAACGCUGGCGGCAGGCCUAACACAUGCAAGUCGAACGGAUCCUUCGGGAUUAGUGGCGGACGGGUGAGUAACACGUGGGAACGUGCCCUUUGGUUCGGAACAACUCAGGGAAACUUGAGCUAAUACCGGAUGUGCCCUUCGGGGGAAAGAUUUAUCGCCAUUGGAGCGGCCCGCGUCUGAUUAGCUAGUUGGUGAGGUAACGGCCCACCAAGGCGACGAUCAGUAGCUGGUCUGAGAGGAUGAUCAGCCACACUGGGACUGAGACACGGCCCAGACUCCUACGGGAGGCAGCAGUGGGGAAUCUUGCGCAAUGGGCGAAAGCCUGACGCAGCCAUGCCGCGUGAAUGAUGAAGGUCUUAGGAUUGUAAAAUUCUUUCAGCGGGGACGAUAAUGACGGUACCCGCAGAAGAAGCUCCGGCUAACUUCGCG
RNAcentral lists this ribosomal RNA (433 nucleotides) under uncultured bacterium. RNAcentral describes it as "partial 16S ribosomal RNA". It matches the Rfam family "Bacterial small subunit ribosomal RNA", at positions 29 to 507 of the family's 1533-position model. The record is from RNAcentral.